UACGGAGGGUGCAAGUGUUAUUCGGAAUCACUGGGCGUAAAGAGCACGUAGGUGGAUAGGCAAGUCAGAUGUGAAAUCCCGGAGCUCAACUCCGGAACUGCAUUUGAUACUGCCUGUCUUGAGUGAGGUAGAGGGAGUGGAAUUCCCGGUGUAGAGGUGAAAUUCGUAGAUAUCGGGAGGAACACCAGAGGCGAAGGCGACUCCCUGGGCCUCUACUGACGCUGAGGUGCGAAAGCGUGGGGAGCAAACAGGAUUAGAUACCCCCGUA
This 268-nucleotide ribosomal RNA is filed under the name uncultured prokaryote. Its description in RNAcentral is "partial 16S ribosomal RNA". It matches the Rfam family "Bacterial small subunit ribosomal RNA", at positions 524 to 792 of the family's 1533-position model. The record is from RNAcentral.